UGGGGAAUAUUGCACAAUGGGCGAAAGCCUGAUGCAGCCAUGCCGCGUGUGUGAAGAAGGCCUUAGGGUUGUAAAGCACUUUCAGCGAGGAGGAAAGGGGGUAAGUUAAUACCUUAUCUCUGUGACGUUACUCGUAGAAGAAGCACCGGCUAACUCCGUGCCAGCAGCCGCAGUAAUACGGAGGGUGCGAGCGUUAAUCGGAAUUACUGGGCGUAAAGCGUGCGUAGGCGGCUACUUAAGUUGGAUGUGAAAGCCCUGGGCUCAACCUGGGAACUGCAUCCAAAACUGGGUGGCUAGAGUGCGAGAGAGGAGUGUGGAAUUUCCUGUGUAGCGGUGAAAUGCGUAGAUAUAGGAAGGAACACCAGUGGCGAAGGCGACACUCUGGCUUGACACUGACGCUGAGGUACGAAAGCGUGGGGAGCAAACAGGAUUAGAUACCCCUGGUAGUCCACGCCGUAAACGAUGUCUACUAGUUGUCGGUUGUCUUGUACGACUGGUAACGCAGCUAACGCGAUAAGUAGACCGCCUGGGGAGUACGGCCGCAAGGUUA
This 550-nucleotide ribosomal RNA is filed under the name uncultured bacterium. RNAcentral's name for it is "bacterial SSU rRNA". It matches the Rfam family "Bacterial small subunit ribosomal RNA", at positions 355 to 896 of the family's 1533-position model. The record is from RNAcentral.